This 627-nucleotide long non-coding RNA is filed under the name Salvia miltiorrhiza (redroot sage). RNAcentral describes it as "long non-coding RNA (SMIL_LNC003527)". The record is from RNAcentral. Lineage: Eukaryota; Viridiplantae; Streptophyta; Magnoliopsida; Lamiales; Lamiaceae.
AUAAAACUAUAUGUUAAUAAGUAAAUAAGAAGUAACAAAUUAGUGAACAUAAAAUUUAUUAAACAUAAAUGUAUGACUAUAGUUGUGGGAAUAAUGUCAUACGUUGAGCACAUCAAUCGAUAACUCAAUAAAAAUAUACUAUAGGACAAUAUAUUAUAAUAAAUUAGUUAACUCGAAAAUAACAAAUUAAAAAAAAUUUAAAAAUAAAUAUAAUUAUGAAAUAAUAUCUUACGUUGAGAACAUGGAUCAAUUACUCAAUAAAAUUAUACCAUAAUAAAUUUAAUGAACUCAAAAUUUAAAAUAUAACAUAUGAAGGAAUUACUAUAGUUUUGUAAAUAAAUUAAUAAAAAUAACAAAAAUAAAAAAUAAAACACAAAUGAAAAAGAAAAUGGAAAGGAAAAACAAAGCAAAAAGUGUGCUAUUGUACUAUAGUACACUAGUACGCCAUCCGUGCGAUGCACGACUAACAUAACAAUAACCGACAUAUUUAAAUAAAUAAGUAUAAAUAUUAAAUAAAAUCAAAAAUAUAAAUAAAUGCAAAUUAUGUUUUAAAAUAAAUAAAAUAAUUCAUAUAAUGAAAAUUAACAUUACACGUACAUUAUCAUCAUCAUCAUCAUCAUCAUCAUC